Molecule: transfer RNA, 66 nt
Filed under: Epeorus sp. JZ-2014
Lineage: Eukaryota; Metazoa; Arthropoda; Insecta; Ephemeroptera; Heptageniidae
Also listed under: 1 other name
Description: tRNA-Leu
Rfam family: tRNA
About the family: Transfer RNA (tRNA) molecules are approximately 80 nucleotides in length. Their secondary structure includes four short double-helical elements and three loops (D, anti-codon, and T loops).
Source: RNAcentral
ACUACUUUGGCAGAUAAGUGCAAUGGAUUUAGAAUCCUUGAAUGGAGGUUAUGUCUUCAGGUAGUA